Rosa rugosa (rugosa rose) is the source of this 3784-nucleotide RNA transcript. RefSeq lists it as uncharacterized. Lineage: Eukaryota; Viridiplantae; Streptophyta; Magnoliopsida; Rosales; Rosaceae. The record is from RefSeq and is a predicted model, not a curated record. The transcript has 3 exons.
AGGAUUGGGGUUCUCUAUUUGUCUUUCUCUUCCAGCGUCCUUCUUCCUUCUUCCUUCUUCCUCCUUGGUUCAUAGUUUAUAUUCUAGCGUGUCAGAUCCAUGGCUGCCUGAACAUCGCUCCGCUAUCACUUGAUUCACUUCUCCGCUGCAAUUCUCUCCAUCCUUAGUUUCUCUUCUCUUUGAAUUUACAGAAAUCUAAUCGAAGAAGCCCCAAAAUCCCAAAUCAGAAUUCCCAAACCCUAAAAUUUUCGAUCUCUCUUAGUCAUCGUCGGAGCCAGAAGCCGACUAAUUCGAACUCCAAUUCCAGUAAUGUCCAAUCUGUUGGGGUUUUGUUCCCUCCCUGACUCAUUACUUCACCAAUAUUCCCUUCUGGUUUUGGUGCUGGCCCCAAUGGAGCUUCUGCUGCCCAGUUUGUUAGAGCAGAAAUGCUUCCUAGUGGUUAUCUGAUUCGACCGUGUGAGGGUGGAGGAUCAAUCAUUCAUAUUGUUGACCACCUGAACCUUGAGGCUUGGAGUGUGCCGGAAGUGCUGCGACCGCUUUAUGAAUCGUCCAAAGUGGUAGCACAAAAAAGGACUAUUGCGGUGAGUAGAUUAUGCUGGCUUCUGUGUUGGACUCGUAUCCACUGAGACACACACUGUACUCCUUUGUUUGUGUAAAGAAAUUUAUGUCUCUUAUAAUAAGAAGUAGGAUUGGUUGGAUUCUGAUAUGUCUGUUACCUUUUUUUCCAUGUGAGUUUGAGUGACAUUCAUUCAGUCCCUGCAUCCUGCAAUCAAAGCUUGUAUGCUACCUGGAAACAAAUGUCUUUUUUGUAGCAAAUAGUGGAUCUUUGCUGAACCGCAUAAUUUAUUAGCCCCAACUCAUGUAACCUAAGUUCUUUACAUUCUGUUUUUCAGUAUAAAAGGUUCAUUUUUUGAAACUGUUUAGCCAACUUUCUUGAUGAGGUCAUAUUACUUUAAAUUUUGAUAUUGUGGUAAAUAUAAUUUUGUAACAAUACUGCUUGCUGGUGAUUUGUUCCAUUUAUCUCAAUAGUGCUGCAGUGCCACGAUCCCAGCUAAGCUUUGCAAGAGGGAAAGUACCAAGCAAUUCCACAAUUCCAAGAUCAAGUUUCCAUUGAACUCUGAUGAAGCAUUUAUGUUAGAUUAUGUUUUAAUCCUCAUUUUAGGUAUGCAUUGGAUUAGAAACAGAACAACAUUGCAGGUUAAAAUGUGUUUAAGCCACCAACUUGUCCUUAAUGUUAACUUAUAGUGAUGAAAAUUUUAUAAUUAGGUUGUGAGGGAUGGAGAUUUUCUAUUUUCUAAAGUGUGAAUUGUUGAAAUUCUGUUUCAUAUUGGAUUGUCUAUCUCUGCAACUUUCUUUUGUUUGGUAUUGCUUGCUUUUGUGAAAUUUCAUGUGACUAUAUUAUCAGAACAAGUUCAGUCUGGCAAGGCUUCUGAUAAGCUGCUGUUUACGUACUUCCCUUUCCUGGUGUUUUGGCCAUACUACAUGGGCUGUUGACAACUUCCAGGACGAGUAGUUCAAUGAUUGGCAAGAGACCUAUGCUGGGCAGCAAAAAGAAGGCUUGAGAUACACAACUCACUGACUCAGACUUUAUAAUUCUAUUGUCAUUUUGGGAGUUUUGUAUUUGUCAUUUUUUCUGAUUGAAAUGCUCAUUGUGUUUGUGACCUCAAUCUUUUGAUGAAACUAAUCUUAUUAAUGAAUGACAGAUUUAUUCCCAAGGAUUUGUUGGUAGUUCCUAAGCCGAUGACAUUAUAAUAAUAUAGUUGGAAGAACAACACACAUCCAGAUAUGUACUUUGCUUUAUUCUGCUUGAACAACCGCACACUUUCUAAUAGAAAUUCAAAUGAGAAACUUGCCCAGUUCAUACUUCUUAUAUUCUUCAGAUUCUUCAAUGCAAGAAGAUACUUCAGACUUCAAGCAUCUGCACAAAUAGCAAACAGCACUCUCUGAGUCAAAUUGCAGUGGAGCAAAAUUGUUCUCAAGUUUUCAGUCAGGGAAGAAAGGAACUCCGUAAUGUAUACCUUCAGUUAAUAAUUAUAGGGUUACAGCAUCUUCUCUUUCGCCUCCUUGCCUGCACUCCUCAAAAUCCGCUCUGUCUCUAGGUUGAAUUGUGCCUUUACCUGGAUACGAAGCCUUGCGCAACCGAGAUAGUUUCUGGUCUUUAGGAAUUAGGGUUUAUGUCGUGGACUAUAAGUUGUGGGUUAUAACUUACGAACGAAAUUGAUUUAUCUAUAACUAUUUUUUUCCCUUUUCCAUUAACAUAAAGGAUUUUCAUUUAAAUAUAUGGAAAAUAUUAAUGCUUUCUGAAAUAUAAAAGACCCUAAACCCUAAACCCUAAACCCUAAACCCUAAACCCUAAAAUUUUCAUUUAUUUAGAAAUUAACUACAAUUGAAUUCCUAAUCCGUAUUAAAUGUUGUUUAACAAAUUUCAAAACAACAAGAUACAUUCAUUAGUACUCUAAGACCCUAAACCCUAAACCCUAAACCCCAAACCCUAAACCCUAAACUCCAAACUUUAACCCCUAAAUAGUAACCCUAACCCUAUUCCCUAAAUGAAAUAUAUGAUUCUUGAUAAUCUAUGCUCCUCCUCGACAAGAUAUUUCUUUCUCAACAAGAUACCUCAUCCUUCACAGGAUAUCUGCUCAUCGACUACAUUACUACAUAUGUCUCACCUUAACAAGAUAUCUGCUUCUCCUCGACAACAUAUCUUCUCCUUAACAAGAUAUCUGCUCCUCCUCGACAACAUAUCUCAUCUUAACAAGAUAUAUAUAUGCUCCUCCUCGACAACAUAUCUCUCCUUAACAAGAUAUAUGCUCCUCCUCGACAACAUAUCUCUCCUUAACAAGAUAUAUGCUCCUCCUCGACAACAUAUCUCUCCUUAACAAGAUAUAUAUAUGCUCCUCCUCGACAACAUAUCUCUCCUUAACAAGAUAUAUAUAUGCUCCUCCUCGACAACAUAUCUCUCCUUAACAAGAUAUAUGCUCCUCCUCGACAACAUAUCUUCUCCUUAACAAGAUAUCUGCUCCUCCUCGACAACAUAUCUCACCUUAACAAGAUAUAUGCUCCUCUAUAAAAUAGUUCGCUUAUACAUUGCAUUCUACUACAAAAUUUAUCUAAAAGUCGUUUAUGUUUACACUUUGACCACCUUUGUCACCUGAAUAAGGAUUCUUCAAUCAUAUUUUUGCUAAUUCCACGCUAGUACAUCAAAUAUAAGCGAAGUGAAGUGCGAUCCGUGUACUCCUUAUUUCAGCCGUCAGAUAACGACUUCUGUUCUCUUUUUUUCACGCGGAUCGAGCUUACUAACCGUCGAUUUAAUCCAAUUGAGUUUUCAAUACAAUUCAGUUUUGUUUUUUGUUUUUUUUUUGAUGCAUGAGUUAGAUUGCUCUUCUUCGUGCAGCGCCUCUUCUCUGUUUUCUCCUUUAACUCUCUCUCUCUCUCUCUCUCUCUCUCGGUGCUCUUGGGACGACGUCGUUCAUCCAUCGCCGCCUCCACCUUUGCUACUGUCGGUGACCACUUCAAGUUGGGUCUUCGCAUCUGCAAUCAAAGCCGAGUAUUGGGGACAUGCCGGAGAGCUUCGCGGCGGAGAUUAUAGCAAAGGUAUGAAGAAAGACUCGCAUGGUUAUCAGUCCAUGCUUUGAUGUUGGUGUCAAGGAGAUUGAAGGCUGACUGCUACUCUUCUUCCAUCAAGACAUGUUUGCCCUUGUUAACUCACCAAUGUAUUAGUUGUUAGGUCACCAAGUGUUGUAUAUGUUAAAUACUACUUGCCCAGUUGAUACGUUUUCAAUUG